RNAcentral lists this ribosomal RNA (1136 nucleotides) under Sphingobacterium sp. Its description in RNAcentral is "bacterial SSU rRNA". It matches the Rfam family "Bacterial small subunit ribosomal RNA", at positions 32 to 1163 of the family's 1533-position model. The record is from RNAcentral. Lineage: Bacteria; Pseudomonadati; Bacteroidota; Sphingobacteriia; Sphingobacteriales; Sphingobacteriaceae.
AAAGCAAUCGGCGGCUAUACAUGCAAGUCGGACGGGAUCCAUCGGUAGCUUGCUACCGAUGGUGAGAGUGGCGCACGGGUGCGUAACGCGUGAGCAACCUGCCCAUAUCAGGGGGAUAGCCCGGAGAAAUCCGGAUUAACACCGCAUGACACUGCUUUCCGGCAUCGGGAGGUAGUCAAAUAUUCAUAGGAUAUGGAUGGGCUCGCGUGACAUUAGCUAGUUGGUGGGGUAACGGCCCACCAAGGCGACGAUGUCUAGGGGCUCUGAGAGGAGAAUCCCCCACACUGGUACUGAGACACGGACCAGACUCCUACGGGAGGCAGCAGUAAGGAAUAUUGGUCAAUGGGGGCAACCCUGAACCAGCCAUGCCGCGUGCAGGACGACUGCCCUAUGGGUUGUAAACUGCUUUUGUUAGGGAAUAAACCCCGCUACGUGUAGCGGGCUGAAUGUACCUAAAGAAUAAGGAUCGGCUAACUCCGUGCCAGCAGCCGCGGUAAUACGGAGGAUCCGAGCGUUAUCCGGAUUUAUUGGGUUUAAAGGGUGCGUAGGCGGCACUUUAAGUCAGGGGUGAAAGACGGCAGCUCAACUGUCGCAGUGCCCUUGAUACUGAAGUGCUUGAAUGCGGUUGAAGACGGCGGAAUGAGACAAGUAGCGGUGAAAUGCAUAGAUAUGUCUCAGAACACCGAUUGCGAAGGCAGCUGUCUAAGCCGUUAUUGACGCUGAUGCACGAAAGCGUGGGGAUCGAACAGGAUUAGAUACCCUGGUAGUCCACGCCCUAAACGAUGAUGACUCGAUGUUUGCGAUAUACCGUAAGCGUCCAAGCGAAAGCGUUAAGUCAUCCACCUGGGGAGUACGCCCGCAAAGGGUGAAACUCAAAGGAAUUGACGGGGGCCCGCACAAGCGGAGGAGCAUGUGGUUUAAUUCGAUGAUACGCGAGGAACCUUACCCGGGCUUGAAGUUACUGAAAGGGCGCAGAGACGCGCCCGUCCUUCGGGACAGGAAACUAGGUGCUGCAUGGCUGUCGUCAGCUCGUGCCGUGAGGUGUGGGUUAAGGUCCCGCAACGAGCGCACCCCUAUGUUUAGUGCUGAGCAGCGUCCAAGGUGGGGACCUCUAAACAAGACUGCCUGCGCAGCCC